RNAcentral lists this ribosomal RNA (407 nucleotides) under uncultured bacterium. RNAcentral describes it as "partial 16S ribosomal RNA". It matches the Rfam family "Bacterial small subunit ribosomal RNA", at positions 28 to 526 of the family's 1533-position model. The record is from RNAcentral.
GAUGAACGCUAGCUACAGGCUUAACACAUGCAAGUCGCAGGACUGGCGCACGGGUGAGUAACGCGUAUCCAACCUUCCCAUGACCCCGGGAUAACCCGUUGAAAGACGGACUAAUACCGUAUGGUGCAGGAUGGGGAUGCGUCUGAUUAGCUUGUUGGCGGGGUAACGGUCAACCAAGGCGACGAUCAGUAGGGGUUAUGAGAGGAAGGGCCACCACAUGGGAAAUGAGAAAAGGUCCAAACGCGUACGGGAGGAAAAAGGGAGGAAUAUUGGGUAAUGGGCGAGAGCAUGAACCAGCUAAGUAGCGUGAAGGACGACGGCCUAUGGGUUGUAAACUGCUUUUAUGCGGGGAUAGGGACCGAAUGAAUAAGGACCGGCUAAUUCCGUGCCAGCAGCCGCGGUAAUAC